AAAUAUUUUUGAUAAAAGUAAGUAUAUAAAGAGACUAUUAUGGAUUAGAAGCUAUAUAUCAAAGAGAGCUCUAAAUAGAAAUUAAAUUAAAAAAAAAAACGAAGCAAAUUGAAAUAUCUUAUUAACUUCAGGAAAAUAAAUCAAACGAGAUUAUUAAAUUAGUGAGAAUUAAAUAAUAAAAGUCUAUUAAGUAAAAUGGAGUGCAUACCUGUUUGAACUUAAAGGGGAACCUUCCUCUAAGGCUAAAUAUGAUAUAUAAGCGAUAGUUAAAAGUACCGUGAGGGAACAUAAAAAAAAAUAGUAGUUUUAUAAGCAGCUUGAGUUUAAAACAAGAGCGUACCUUUUGCAUAAUGGGUCAGCAAGUUAAUAUUAGAUGCGAGAAAUUUCCUAGAUAAAGCGAUUAUUAAAUAAUGAAUUAGUAUCUAAAAUUAGACCCGAAGCCUAGUGAUCUUACUACGAUCAGGGUUAUAAAAGCCCGAACGGUUUAUCGUUGUAAAGAUAUCCGAAGAAUCGUGGUAAGUUAGUGAAAGACAACACUGACUAGGAUAGCUGGUUUUCCGCGAAACCUAUAUAAGUAGGUAAUUUUAAUAAAAUCAUAGCAGGUACAGAAUUGUGAUCUUAUACAACUUUUAUAUAAUUUUGUAUAUAUUGGGGGGUCGUGAAGAUUCUAUCAGUGAGUAUUUGUUCUCGAAAGGGCUAUGAUUAAUAUUGAAUAAUCGGACAUAGUACGCUAAGGUUGUAUGUCUAAAGGGAAACAGCCCAGAACAAGUGUUAAUAAGGUUCCAAAAUUAUUGUUAAGUGAAAUAAAGGUAGUUUAUGUCCCAAAUGGCCAGGAAAUGGGCUUAGGAGCGGCCAUUUUUUAAAGACCUCGUAACAGAGCACUGGUUUUAUUAUAAAAAAUAAAUAAUAUACAAAAAUUUUUUGUAUAUUAUUUACAUGGAUAUGAGCACUGACGAUACAACGGAUCUAAAUAAUAUACCGAUACCUUGUCCAUAAUUAUUUAUAUAUACUUAACGGAAGAAAGAGAUAAAGAUACACAUAAGUUAUAUAACGUUUUAUGGGGUAGCGGAACAUUGGGUAUACCACAUUGUUUUAUUUUAUAAAUAAAGUAAGGUACCCCAAGUGAUAAUGCUGACAUGAGUAACGAUAAAGGGAACGAAGCAAUAAACUAAAACAGAUGAGCGAGUAGUCAAUCCCUCGCCUAAAGCUUAUGGUAUUUAGUUAAAGUAACGGCCUCUAAGUUUAUAAAUUAAGUUUACCGUACCUAAAAACUACCACAAGUAAGCAAGUAGAGAAUACGAAGGCGUUCGAGCUAACAAUCAUUAAGGAACUCGGCAAAUUAACUCACGUAACUUCGGGAUAAGGUGAGCCAUUUCUAUUUUUUAAUAUAAGUAAGAAAGAGGAGGCACAGAAUGGUGUUGUACGACUGUUUAAUUAAAACAAAGCACGUUGCAAAGACAAAAAUCGAAGUACAAGGUGUGAUGUCUGCCCUAUGGCGGCUGGUUAACGGAUUUGUUUAGUUGACUAAUAUAGGUUAGACUUUGAAGGAAACCCCGUUAAAUGGCGGCCUUACAGAUGAGGGUCCUAAGGUAGCGGAAUACCCUGGCCGUUAAAUGCGGUCUUGCAUGAAUGAUGUAACGAUACAACAGCUGUCUCUAUGAUUGACUCGGUGAAAUUGGAAUAACUGUGCAGAUACAGUUUACCUCUAGGUAGACGAGAAGACCCUAUGCAGCUUUACUGUUGCUAGUUACUUGGUAUGAUGUAAUGAGUUUUAGAGUAUAAGGUAGUUGCUCAGAUAACAAUGAAACACCUUUACUUCAUUUGUCAUAUUAUAUUACCACCUAAAGGUGGGAUCAAUUGCUAGGUGGCAGUUUAUGCGGGGCACAGAUCCCAUAAAAAGUACCUGGGAGUAUCCAAAAUUAAUUUGUAAUAUUGCAUUUUAAUUUUGCAGCUAAAUAUAUAUAGCUAAGUUAUAUAUAUUUUUCUUUUUAUUUUGUUUUUAGAUAAAUUUUAUUACUAAUUCAAUUAUAAAUCUAUUUAAGUUGGAACUUUUUUUUUAUAGUAAGUAAGAUUUUUUUUAUAUAUAAAUAUAAAUGUAAUUAAAGUACUAUUUAAUAUAUAACAUAAAGUUAUAUAUUAACUCUUUUUGUUGUUUACUGAAUUACACCUGUUUGUUUUUUGGUUUUAUCUUAUUGAUAAAAACCGAAAUUAGUUAAAUGAUAAUUAUAUUACUUAUAAAGUUUAACGGCUUAAUCUUGCUUUACUGUUUGACUUACACGUCUUUCAGUCGCGUAAGCGGGGCAUAUGAUCACAAGAUGCAGAAAGGAAAGGUCUUGGAUUUUUGAAAAAGUUACGCUAGGGAUUAAAACAGGCUAAUAUCGCCAGAGAGCUCAAAUUGAGUGCGGUGUUUGGCACCUCGAUGUCGGCUUAGCUCAUCCUCAUGAAUGUAGGAGUCAUGUAGGGUAUGACUGUUCGUCAAUUAAAGAGCUACACGAGCUGGGUUAAAUACGUCGUGAGACAGUAUGGUUUCUAUCUUCUAGAGGAAAUUAGAAUAAAAUAAGGAUGUCCCCUUGUACGAAAGGAAAUGGGUAUGUUAACCCCUGGUUUACCUGUUGUUUAUGCUACGAUAUUAAUUUAGGUAUAUGCUAUAGAAUCACUGUAGAGCGGAGAAAUCCAACCUGCUAGUUGCAACAUAUAUGCUGGAGUUUACUUUUCACUAUAGUAAGCUUUUGUUAAAACAAUAAACUAAAUAAGAUGAGUUUUAAGUAAUUUAGCAUGGGCAUGGCAGGAAGGCUAUGUUAGUUAUGGAUAAGUGCUGAAUAAAUCUAGGCACGAAGCUAACCUUAAGAUAUUCUUAAAUAAACGUAGUUUACUACUACGAAUUAAUAGGCUUAAGUUGAAAAAAUUGUGAUUUUCUUAGGCAUUAAGUACUAAUUUUAUAAUAUACUAAA
This 2951-nucleotide ribosomal RNA is filed under the name Obscuroplaca camptidia. RNAcentral's name for it is "Caloplaca camptidia large subunit ribosomal RNA". It matches the Rfam family "Bacterial large subunit ribosomal RNA". Lineage: Eukaryota; Fungi; Ascomycota; Lecanoromycetes; Teloschistales; Teloschistaceae. The record is from RNAcentral.